UCUCCUAUCAAAGAGGUUGCACGCCACGGC
This 30-nucleotide small RNA is filed under the name Bombyx mori (domestic silkworm). RNAcentral describes it as "ovarian small RNA-29666". The record is from RNAcentral. Lineage: Eukaryota; Metazoa; Arthropoda; Insecta; Lepidoptera; Bombycidae.